GACGAACGCUGGCGGCGUGCUUAACACAUGCAAGUCGAACGGAAAGGCCCUGCUUUUGUGGGGUGCUCGAGUGGCGAACGGGUGAGUAACACGUGAGUAACCUGCCCUUGACUUUGGGAUAACUUCAGGAAACUGGGGCUAAUACCGGAUAGGAGCUCCUGCUGCAUGGUGGGGGUUGGAAAGUUUCGGCGGUUGGGGAUGGACUCGCGGCUUAUCAGCUUGUUGGUGGGGUAGUGGCUUACCAAGGCUUUGACGGGUAGCCGGCCUGAGAGGGUGACCGGCCACAUUGGGACUGAGAUACGGCCCAGACUCCUACGGGAGGCAGCAGUGGGGAAUAUUGCACAAUGGGCGGAAGCCUGAUGCAGCAACACCGCGUGCGGGAUGACGGCCUUCGGGUUGUAAACCGCUUUCGCCUGUGACGAAACGUGAGUGACGGUAAUGGGUAAAGAAGCACCGGCUAACUACGU
Molecule: ribosomal RNA, 467 nt
Filed under: uncultured bacterium
Lineage: Bacteria
Description: partial 16S ribosomal RNA
Rfam family: Bacterial small subunit ribosomal RNA
Source: RNAcentral